CCUACGGGAGGCAGCAGUGAGGAAUAUUGGACAAUGGCCGUAAGGCUGAACCAGCGAAGCCGCGUGAAGGAAGAAGGAUUUAUGGUUUGUAAACUCUAUUUAUAGGGGAAUAAAGGUCUGUACGUGUGGAUAUUUGCAUGUACCCUAUGAAUAAGCAUCGGCUAACUCCGUGCCAGCAGCCGCGGUAAUACGGAGGAUGCGAGCGUUAUCCGGAUUUAUUGGGUUUAAAGGGUGCGUAGGGUGUUUAUUAAGUCAGAGGUGAAAGUUUGUGGCUCAACCAUAGAAGUGCCGUUGAAACUGGAAGACUAGAGUGUGUUUGUGGUAGGCGGAAUGCGUGGUGUAGCGGUGAAAUGCAUAGAUAUCACGCAGAACUCCGAUUGCGAAGGCAGCUUACUAAGCCGUAACUGACACUGAGGCACGAAAGCGUGGGGAGCAAACAGGAUUAGAUACCCGGGUAGUC
This 460-nucleotide ribosomal RNA is filed under the name uncultured bacterium. RNAcentral describes it as "partial 16S ribosomal RNA". It matches the Rfam family "Bacterial small subunit ribosomal RNA", at positions 338 to 795 of the family's 1533-position model. The record is from RNAcentral.